AAUUAUGGAUUUUGAUAUGACCCAUGGAUAGGUAAAGGUAAAGGUUGUCCCCUGACAUUAAGUCUAGUUGUAUCUGACUCUGGAGGUUGGUGCUCAUUUCCAUUUCAAAGCCAGCAUUGUCCAUAGACAUCUCCUAGGUCAUGUGGCCAGCAUGACUGCAUAGAGCACCGUUACCUUCCCAACAGAGUGAUACCUAUUGAUCUACAGUGUUCCCUCACUUAUCACACGGUUUAUGUUCCAGGACCACCCACAAUAAGUCCGAACUUACUUGUCCAAAUGUGUCUCCCGCUAUGACUCACCACGUAAUUUAAGAUCCUUAGGGGAAGCCCUGCUUUCGGUCCCACCAACCUCACAGGUGAGGCUGGCAGGGAUGAGAGACAGGGCCUUUUCAGUAGUGGCCCCCCAAGUGUUAAAGAAUUAAGACUUGGUUGUUGGACCAGGCUUUUGAAUAAUAGUGUAGAGAUACAGUUGUCCUAUUACUAGCUAAUAUACAGGAUAGAACAAUGGUAACAAAUUAUAAUCAUUACAGGCGCAUGAGUAAUGCACAAAUGAAAACUGUUUACAACAUUACAUCAAAUAUUAUAUUCAUGCUUGUAUGUUUUUUCAGUAGGGACACUAUAUUUAUUUUAAUAUUUAUACUUUAUUUUAGCAGUUACAAUAUACAGUAUACCGGCAGAGAAGAAGAAAGGAAGCUGAAUAACCCUUUUUUUAAUUUCCAACCCCCAGUGGCGUAGUGGGUUAAAACCUUGUGACUUGAAGGUUGGGCUGCUGACCUGAAAGCUGCCAGGUUCGAAUCCAACCUGGGGAGAGCGCGGAUGAGCUCCCUCUAUCAGCACCAGCUCCAUGUGGGGACAUGAGAGAAGCCUCCCACAAGGAUGGUAAAAACAUCAAACAUCCGGGCGUCCCCUGGGCAACGUCCUUGUAGAAGGCCAAUUCUCACACCAGAAGAGACUUGCAGUUUCUCAAGUCCAACCCUUCCCUACCCUUCCCCUCUCUUAUCUCUCCCUUUCCCCUGCUUCCAGGAGAGGAGAAAAGAGGAGGAGAGCCAGGAGAGGCACCUGGGAGGCUUGAGCCCAUAUCGGCCCUUCGCAGAGUCCUGCAGGCCUGGUGAGGGCUACCCAGGCGUCAAGGUUUUAGGAUCUCAACAGUUCCUUUGCGACGGGGUCGCCUUCUGCGCCAUCCUCCACCGCCACCGGCCCGACUUGCUGUCCCUGUGGCAUAGACACCGAGAACUGGGAAGCCUUGGCCCUUGAGAGCUCUAACUGGAGGUCAGCUGUGACCAGCAGUGCUGCAGAAUUUGAAGUGGCAAGAAUGGAGGGCUUAAAGGAGAAACGUGCCAAUAGGAAGGCGUGUCAAGCCAGCCCUGACCUGGACCACCUUCCACCUGGAAACCGAUGUCCUAACUUCGGAAGAGCAUGUGGGUAAGAAUAAGUCUCCACAGCCACCUACGCAUCCACCACCAAGACACUACACUUGGAGGGCCAUCAUCCUUGGAGAUAAGCACCACUCCCAUAAUUGGACAUGACUAGAGAUAACCU
RNAcentral lists this long non-coding RNA (1538 nucleotides) under Anolis carolinensis (green anole). Its description in RNAcentral is "lncRNA (ENSACAG00000032656.2)". The record is from RNAcentral. Lineage: Eukaryota; Metazoa; Chordata; Lepidosauria; Squamata; Anolidae.